CGCGCAGCCCCGUCUGGAGGCCCGUCCCGGGCGGCAGCCGGGUGACGGCAGGCAGAGCCCGCGGCCCCCCGCUCGGCGUGACGCGCGGGGACGGGUGGCGCGGGGGAAGUUUCUGUUUGCGUCACCGGACGGGAUCCUUCCUCCCUGGCACUCUCGGCCCGGGCUGCGAGUGAAAGAGAAAGUUGACAGCGUGAAAGGGGAAAAUGCCUCCGCGAGAGCCCACUUCCUCAAACUGUGAGCGGUGGAGUCAGGUGCCCGGGCGUCUUCGCCGGGAGGGCGUGGAGGGCGCGCACGCCCGCGCGGCGGGCAGGCAGGCAGCCCCUGCGGAAACGUGGACGUGGGGUUACCAGGCGGCCCGCAAGCCCACUGUCAGGGGCUCCCCGGGGCUGAGAACAGGAACUCCCUCGCGCGGGAACCUCACGGCGGCACUGUCACAGCGGUCAGGUCGACUCUCCGACGCGAACGGUCACCCCGGGAGAAGCGGGAGGCGGCCGCACAUCACCAUCGGCACACCGGUCACGGCUCACUGUCCACUCGGAAGGGGGUCAUUUCACAUCACGUAAGUGCCACUGCAAGGAAGGGUCCCACGUGGCCACCCAGCCGCGGCCCCGGGGGAGGGGCGAUUAGAGGCGGAGCUCAGCCAACAGCCUGGGGAGUGGGGCGGACACGGGCCUCCGGAGGCCCCAGUGCUCACCCUCGCGCCUUGGGACUGGGGGACCUGGGCAGAGCGGGCACCUCGUCGGCCGGCACCGCUGUCCUGCUCACACCGGCAGCUGGAUCCCGCCCUGGAAUCAGGUAAAUUAUCCCACGUCUGGAUCAGAAACAGCAGGACCAGACGAGGCUCUAGACUUAGGUGCACAGCUCUGGCUCCGGGCUCACCCCAUGGCCUCCCCCCCUGCCCACCUUGAGCCCUGGGUCCCUGUGACGGGAUGGGAAGGGACAGCACAGGGCAGGUGGGCCUCGGGCGGUGGUGGGAUGAGGUGGGAAGCUGGUGUGAACACAGCCCCUCCCUCUCCCUGCACCCCCGGCUCCGCAGGGAUGGGGCUGGGUAAGUGCGCAGCGGGACGAGACGGGCACCCUGUCACUGCCUGGCGCUCCGGCAGCAGCCUGGGGACACGGGCUGGACGUGGCCUAGGGUCCGCGAGAGGAGCGCCAGGGCCUGAGGGCGGAUUCUGAGUCUCCUCUCCAGAGUGCGCGGCGGUUCAGGUGUUUGGGGGUCACGCCGUCCUCGGCCAGCAGGCAGGGCCCGUGGGGGGAGAAAGGAGAGAGCGCAGGCAUUACGGGGUCCCCGGAGGAGCUGGGUUCACCCUCCAUCCGCAUGAGGAGUGGCCGUGAUCCUUUCCGUCAGUGUCCACGGACCGACCACUACAAAUUCAUGCUGACUGUGCGUGAACACCACACGCCCUGGUCCUGGGUCCGGGGGUGACAGGGGACCCGCAGGGAACAGAGGAGCGUCCCCGGGGAACGUCCUCCCUGCCCUCACGGCCGCGUCCGCUCACCCACGGGGAGCUCCGAACGCCACGGGGCAUCCUGAGAACCACGGAGGGAUGGGGUGGAGGGGUCCCGGCACUGCCGCCAUAUUCCCAGGGUCGUGCGCGCUUCUGGAAAAAUAGCGUAAGCAUGUGCUUCACGGCUGCAGUCGGGCGUUCCUAGGUCAGGGUUCGGAAGGCGGGGCUCGGUCUUCCCUGAUGACUGAAGUGCGCGGGCGCGGCCCCCGGGGCCGGACUCGGGGCUCCAUCUUCCCGAUCCGCAGCCACAAAGGCGUUGCCGUAAAAACCACUUUACUUUAUGUCAGAGUUCUCAGGCCAUCGCUUCUCAAGAACACGCAGGAGGGAGGAGACCGUCUUUACCAAAGAGAAAGAUUUCUUAUUACGGAAAGUGCAGAGGCACCGAGGCAGGGGGCGGAGGGCAGGGACGAGCCGCGGGCCACGGACCAGGUGUGGACACAGGGGACGGCGGCCUUUCUCAAGCCCCCGCGCCUGGUCUGCACGCCCCAGGGCCCAGCAAACGGCCCCCGGAGCUGCUCUGUCCACACGUGGGACCUUGUGUGACAUGAGGGGUCCGCUCUGAGCACACCGAGGGUCGGCCAGAGCGAGUGGGGUCCGGUCAUUCCAUCAGCCCCCGUGCACCACGUCAGGGGCUAGAGAUCAAGACCUCGCCCGCAGGGAGUUUUUAGUGCAGGAGAAAGCGGGUGGCGUGGGGGCCGCGGAAGGAGGAAAUGGCUCCCCGUUCUGGAGCCCCUGACGGCCAGGUCUGUGGACACACAACAGUGAGCUUCUGGAAACACACCCGCGGCCACUGACCCGCUGUGGGCCCAGGGGCGGAUGGACGGAGGGAGGUGGCCGGUGACUUCCUAACUCCGUGGGCACAAACAGGCGCCCGGGGCCCGACCACACACAGCUCGUCCGGAAGCUUGCACUGAGGGGGCACGGAGCCUCGGCUCUGGCUGAGGCGAGUCUAGUGAUCGAGAGCAACGGUCAGCAGAGUGUGGGUCGCUCCACCACCAGCACCCCCGUCCGUGCAGCACGUGAGGCUGCGAGCCUGAAUCAUCGCCGUCGUCCUGGACGUGAGCGGCUGUGCUCCCCGAGAUCGCUGCGGCCCGACUGCCGGCUCCAGCCUCUACCGCCUCCCAGAGCCCGGGUCAUGUGACAAAGGGCUGGCGGCAGGCGCAGGGUCUUCCCGCGUGGGGUGACCUCGGAUGGCUCUCACUGGUCACACAGAGGCUCCGGGACCCAAGAGCAGGUGCUCCAGCGACACGUGCAGGACGUGACGGGCCGUUCGUCACCCAGCUGGGAGCCCAGAGGCACCAUUUCUGUCCCACGGGGUUGGCAGUCAGGAGCCCACACUGAUUCAAGGAGAGGAAACGCAGGCCACUGCUACUGCUAACAGGAGCGUCAGAGAAGGUGCAGGGGGUCUAGGGCCGGCACAACGGGUCACAUGCAAGAUCACGGACGGGCCGGUCACUCGAUAAGGCAGGGCGGUCCUCUCACCAGCCUGGCAGAGAGGACACCGGCUGGAGCGACCCCGGAGGCCACCCUGCCCGGCCCCGCCCCCACCAGGCGACCGCAGGGUGCGAACCCCUGGGCCAGCGCCCCUGGGGACAAGGUGGCCUGGAUGCCAUGCCUCCCGCAUGUCUUCAGUCCCCUCCUGCUCCGGCAGGUUCGGGGGCACAGGAGGGAAGAGCCCCGAGGGGGUCCUGGCUGCCGAGUGGUAGGCGAACCCAGGCUCCGGGACGAGGGCCUCCGUGAGUGACCUCAGGCACAGGCCUCCGAGGUCACCUUCUCUUUUCCCCAAAGGCGGAACUUGUGGGGGAGACAGUGGGGGUUCUGGCUGCUCCAGGGGGUGGCUCGGGGGAGCUCCCGGACCCGGCUGACUCUAGCGCCCGAGCGAGUGAAGCCGCUUCCCCUUCCCGAGGCCGUGGCAGGAACAGACUCUCCAGAGAGCCCUGGUCGUCAGCAGUGACACCACCGGGACCCCGAGGGCAGUGGCGUGGGCACCAAAGGGCCCCUGUCUCUGUCCCCGGGCCAGGCCUCAACCAUCAGAAAACAACAGAGGGGAGUCUGCUCCGGGUCAGGUAAAGCCAUCGCCCCAGAGUGCCGAGGCCCCUGGUGGGAGCGUGGUUUCCGUCCGAGGAGGCUACUUUCCAGGAAAUCCGAUGAGCGAACUGAGCUCCUGGGGCUCCCCCGGGUCUCCUGCUGCGUUUGGGAGCGAGGCCUGGGCGCUGGGAGGCACGGAGGGCUGCAGACAGGCGUCCACAGACGUGGCCUGGAUUUUAACUACAGCUGUAGAGGCCACGAGGGGAUGGAGGAGGACAGAGGGAGGAAGGCUGGGGGGCAUGGUUAAAACUAUGAACCGAAGACAGAAUGCCUGUGUGCAACCUGGGAUAGUGUGCGAGCGUGUCCUGUGCACCUGUGCAUCCAGGUGCACGCUCGAGCCAGCCACACCUGUGCGUCCAGGUGCACGCUCGGGCCAGUCCCUCCUUCCCCGUCUGAGUCUUACUUGGAUCCCUGGUGCCCAUUCUGCGCACCAGCUCAGGACCCUGCAAGGGCUUCCGCAGCCUAGCUAGACGAGCCCAAACCCCUACAUGGACCUGUGCCCUGGCCUGACUCCCUGGCAGCCUGGCUGUGCCCACUGCAGUCCCCACUUUGACUCUGGGGCGCUGUCCGCAUCCCCCCUCCAGGGCCCCGCCCGAGAAGCCUUCCCUACGGGGAGCCAGGGAAAACCUCUGAGCGCGCGUCCCCACGGACGCCGCACCGCGUGCAGCCCGCCUCUCCCCGCAUCUCAUGCGGCAGCUACCGGACCUUCCGCACGUCCUCCGGGCUCCAGACGGGCAGGCCGCCCAGGAAAGGGGCUGCCCCGCUCCCCGGGGGGCUGGCAGAGGGCACACGCGGCGCCCGGCACGCUGGCCACACCAGAGAUGCCGACGGCGCUGCUACCACCAGUGCCGGCCUCGCCGAGGGUUUUCCAGCGGCCGGCUUCAGUCCCGCCGAUGUCACCGCUGAAGCACAGUGGCUCUUGUGCCAGGUUCCCCUGAGCAGAGCGGAAGCAGUUUUCUUCUUUCCCCAGAUGUCACCCCGGGGGAAGUACAAGGGACGGGAGCGUCAAGUGGCCUUGGCAGCCGGCCUCGGACUUUCCCUGCUCGGGUCUUACACAGAAACGAAGGAAGCAGAAGUGUGUCCGGUGACAGCAGGUGAAACCAGGCCGCCCGAGGGCAGCGCACGCGAGGACUCAGAACCCCCGAAGCCCCCCAGCCCGCCAAGCAUCCGCCACGGGCCGGCCCUGCGUCGCGUCCCGGGGUGCUUGCUGCCAGCGGUGCUCAGGACGUGACGCCACAGAGCGUUAAGGGGCGCUGGCACCACAUGACCGGAAGCUCUGUGGGGGCCGGGGGCCCCCGAGAGAAGGCCGGCCUUCAAGCCGGCGCAUGGGGGCGAAUACAAAGCCACCAGCCCAGGCCAGCGCACAGACCUGCGUCCGGACCCAGCCCAACCGCAGACGCGAGCAGAUGUGGACCCGAGGCCACCGCGGGUCAGCACAGAGCCCGACGCGGGGCUGGAACCCACACACCGUGAGGUCACGACCUGAGCCGAAGUCGGACACUUUGACUGAGCCCCCAGGCGCCCCAGAACCUUGGGAGGUCUAUGCAGGAGAGCCGUGGUCAGAUCCACGCUCUAGAACUCCCACCUCUGCAGGACUGACCGAGGACACACACGGGAGGACGGAGAUUGUGACCAGGGCUGAGAGCGAAGUUCCGUCGUGGGGGCUACCGCGAGGGGCUCCUCCGUCCUCCGCCGCGGUCUGGGCCGCCGGGAGCAAGGCUGCGUCCACCGCUGCGUGCAGACUCUCCCCGCGGACCGAGCGUUUCUCCCCCAGGGAAGCAUCCAGUGGCCGUCCUGCCGCGGGGGCUGUUAGGACGGGCUCCGCUUCGUCAGAAACCGCACCCACUGUGCACCAGCACCGCCACGCGGGCCCGCCCGCCUCCCCGCCAGCGCGUGUGGGGUCCGCCCUUCCCAGCCGGCCUUCUGCUGGGCCUGGAGUGACGCCUCACCGUGGCCGUGGCACUUUCUGUGUGCUCGCCGGCCAUUUCCGUAUCUUCUGUGUGGGAAGCCUCUGUUCAAAGCCUAAGUCCGUUGCCUAAAAACUCAAAUUCUUCUUCUUA
Molecule: RNA transcript, 5656 nt
Organism: Suricata suricatta (meerkat)
Lineage: Eukaryota; Metazoa; Chordata; Mammalia; Carnivora; Herpestidae
Gene name: collagen alpha-2(I) chain-like
Exons: 3
Source: RefSeq, a predicted model, not a curated record